Molecule: ribosomal RNA, 901 nt
Filed under: uncultured bacterium
Lineage: Bacteria
Description: bacterial SSU rRNA
Rfam family: Bacterial small subunit ribosomal RNA
Source: RNAcentral
AAAUUCAUGGGCUCAACCCAUGACCUGCCUUCAAAACUGUCAAUCUUGAGUGGUGUAGAGGUAGGCGGAAUUCCCGGUGUAGCGGUGGAAUGCGUAGAUAUCGGGAGGAACACCAGUGGCGAAGGCGGCCUACUGGGCACUAACUGACGCUGAGGCUCGAAAGCAUGGGUAGCAAACAGGAUUAGAUACCCUGGUAGUCCAUGCCGUAAACGAUGAUUACUAGGUGUGGGAGGAUUGACCCCUUCCGUGCCGCAGUUAACACAAUAAGUAAUCCACCUGGGGAGUACGACCGCAAGGUUGAAACUCAAAGGAAUUGACGGGGGCCCGCACAAGCAGUGGAGUAUGUGGUUUAAUUCGAAGCAACGCGAAAAACCUUACCAGGUCUUGACAUCCCGUGCAUAGCUAAGAGAUUAGUGAAGUCCUUCGGGACACGGAGACAGGUGGUGCAUGGUUGUCGUCAGCUCGUGUCGUGAGAUGUUGGGUUAAGUCCCGCAACGAGCGCAACCCUUAUCUUUAGUUACUACGCAAGAGGACUCUAGAGAGACUGCCGUUGACAAAACGGAGGAAGGUGGGGAUGACGUCAAAUCAUCAUGCCCUUUAUGACCUGGGCCACACACGUACUACAAUGGCAAUUAACAAAGAGAAGCGAAACCGCGAGGUGGAGCGAACCUCAUAAAAAUUGUCUCAGUUCGGAUCGCAGGCUGCAACCCGCCUGCGUGAAGCCGGAAUUGCUAGUAAUCGCGGAUCAGCAUGCCGCGGUGAAUACGUUCCCGGGCCUUGUACACACCGCCCGUCACACCAUGAGAGCCGGGGGGACCCGAAGUCGGUAGUCUAACCGCAAGGAGGACGCCGCCGAAGGUAAAACUGGUGAUUGGGGUGAAGUCGUAACAAGGUAGCCGUA